RNA transcript from Oreochromis niloticus (Nile tilapia), 4613 nucleotides. It is a transcript of the gene named phosphatidylinositol transfer protein, alpha b, with no coding region annotated. Lineage: Eukaryota; Metazoa; Chordata; Actinopteri; Cichliformes; Cichlidae. The record is from RefSeq and is a predicted model, not a curated record. The transcript has 13 exons.
CUUUCUGUGUGUUGUGUUCUCUGCACAGGCCUCGGUGCUCUGCGCGUAACAGCAACGCCGCUCCGCGGCCCCGAUCAGGAAGUGAAUUUGAAGAAAAUAAGCGACUGUGGAGGUAGAAUGACAUAGGGAGCGGGAGGUGGAAGAGAAGCAAGCGGAGAAAGAAGCGACUAACAGAGGGAAGAAUCGACCCGCUUUCUGGACCUGUAUUGGGCUGUUAUCCCGGGAUAUACUGCACACACAAAAAUGCUUAUAAAGGAAUAUCGAGUGAUUCUUCCUAUUUCCGUGGAAGAGUACCAGGUUGGCCAGCUGUACUCUGUGGCUGAGGCCAGUAAGAAUGAGACGGGUGGAGGAGAAGGAGUGGAGGUGCUAAAAAAUGAACCCUAUGAAAAAGAUGGAGAGAAGGGACAGUACACACACAAAAUAUACCAUUUGCAGAGUAAAGUGCCAUCAUUCGUCAGAAUGUUGGCUCCAGCUUCAGCUCUCAAUAUCCACGAGAAAGCCUGGAACGCGUACCCAUACUGUCGCACAGUCAUCACUAAUGAGUAUAUGAAAGAUAACUUCUUGAUCAAGAUUGAGACAUGGCACAAACCUGACACGGGACACCUUGAAAAUGUACACGGUUUGGAUGCAGAAACCUGGAAGAAAGUGGAUGUAGUCUAUAUUGAUAUUGCAGACAGAAGCCAAGUGGAACCAAAGGACUACAAGCCUGAAGAAGAUCCUUGCAAGUUCAAGUCAGUGAAGACAGGACGAGGACCUCUAGGACCAGACUGGAAGAAGGAACUUCCUAACAAGAAAGACUGCCCACACAUGUGUGCCUACAAGCUGGUCACUGUCAAAUUCAAGUGGUGGGGCCUGCAAAAUAAAGUGGAGAAUUUCAUUCAAAAGCAAGAGAAGCGUUUGUUCACUAAUUUUCACCGCCAGCUGUUCUGCUGGAUUGACAAAUGGAUUGAACUGAACAUGGAAGACAUCCGUCGCAUGGAGGAGCAGACACGUAGGGAGCUGGAUGAGAUGAGAGUGAAGGACCCUGUGAAAGGAAUGGUUGCUCUAGAGGACUGAGGCUGUAUUGGACCGUGAAUGCUGCUGCUCAUCAGUCUAGCUGCUCAUUGUAACUUCCCAAAUCCAAGAUCAGAAUAUCCAGACACCAGCGGAUUCACAUCCUCCUUUUGUCUCAACUGACGCAACAUCCGACCGGCCGGUCCAAAACCCACCUCUUGCAGUCCAAUUUGGUUUCAGGGACCUGGACCCAGUAAACUUCCAGUUUUCAGCUGAUGUUCUCCGUCCUUCCCCCCUUUCACACUCAUUUGUACUUUUGGUUUGUUUUUUUAAUCUAGUGUCCCCAUGUUAAUUGCUCUGAGGCCUCCAGUAGCAAAAUUAUAGAUCUUGUCAGUCAGUCCUCUCUUUCUGUCUAAAUUGUUCUAAACUACAGAGAAUAGUGUCAUUUAUCUCUGCAAUUUAGGAUUUAUUUCUAUUUAAGAUAUCCCAGUAGUGUAUAUAUAAAGUAUAUCGGAGAGUUGAAUAAGUGUACUGAAGUACAUAUAUAUGUGUAUAUACAUAUAGAUAUAUAUAUAUAUAUAUUAAAAAAAACAAGAUUUUUAAAAUGAUUCAGUACAUUUUGUCAGUGGAUGUUUAUUUUUUUCCAGAUCAAGCCAAGCUGUAUCUGCUCAGUGCUGUGUUGCUUGUUUGAUCCUUUAAUUUCUUCUUUUUUGUCAUUGUAUCUCCUUUUCUCCAUUUGUGUCAUGCAGUGUUUCCCUUUCUUAUUGAAAUCGAUUUGCAAAUCUACAAAUCCCAGCUGCAAGGUCGGGAUUGUGCUAAGAGUUUUGUGUUAUCUCUACUAUAAAUCUGACCUAACAGAUACGAUUUUUGCCCCCCUAAAUAUGUUGACAAGUUCAUUAGCUUUUCUGCUGCUUUGUGAAUGUGUGUUUGCAUAUAUAUGUGUGUGUGUGUGUGGUUGUGGCAGGGCUUAGUGGUGUGUGUCUUUGUAACAUUACUAGGUCACCAAGGUUUUCAGCUGUAUUUUUCAUGCCUCUUUCAGCAGAUCCUCCCCAGUUUCAUUUGGCUGUUCGGGGUGCUCAAAAUUGCCGUAAUUGAAGGUUAUGUCUGAAUACAAGUAUACAGUAAUGCAUAUAAAUAAAAACACAGAGAGAGCAAUAGCUGAGAGGGGUACUGGUAAAAUGUGUCACCCUGCAAAAUAAAAAUAUAGAGCAGACAACUGGAACAGUCAUAAACAAGUGUAGGCCUGUCUCUUUUUUUAUUCCUCUGUUGGUGACCUGUGCUGUCAUUCUGCAUCAGGUCUUGCCUUGUCAUCCGUUGUGUCAUCUUCAGUGGAUAAAUGGUGUUAUCCAGCAAUAGCAAUAACUAUCAUGACACGCUGGUCUCUCCUUGGUCAUUGCAGUUUUAGUAAACUGGAGCGCAAGCCUCAACUCAAGAGGGCUCAAGUUGCAUCAUUAAAUUCCAUUUUUAUUGUCUUUGCAUGGGUUGAUUUCUCUUGUGGGAUCUGAAAGUUGUUUUUAAAUUUGUGUUUUGUUUUGGAGGGGAUUUUUCUGGGUGUAUGCAUGAGUGUGAAUGUGUCAUGCAGGGUAGCGAGUGUCUUUGUAGAAAGUUGAUCCUAGUUAGAAACAAGGAACAAAUUAAGCUGCAGCGGGCACUAUUUUGUUUUUCUUCUUGCUGGUGUGUGUUUGGCCUCCUUUGCCUUCCUUCCGUCCCGUCAUCUACUUCACAUCCUGCACAUGUUUUAACAGUAUGGAAAGCUUAAAGAGAAAGCAACAGAUAACGAGACAAGAAAAUGAUUAUGGACAUUUUGCACUAACAAGCUAAUAUUAGUUCAUGUAAAAUAAUUUAGAAACUUUAAAAUAACAGAUAAAUAAAGCCUAUUUUUUGUAGUUUAUGCACAAUCAUUACUAAAGUACAAUAAUACUUACUGAAUUUUGCAGUAUAAAUAUCAAUUUAUAGGGUUUUUCAUUUGCAAUUACAAAAUAAAAACGUUAUCGGUCAAGUACUGUCAUCAGUCAAAAUGACGUCUGUCCCAAGCAUUGCAAGAAUUAUUUCUUCCAUUGACUCUUUAAUUAGGAUACGUCAUUUGCAGAAAUUUUUAAAAAUGCAAAGGUUUUCUGGCAGAUUUCCAGAAGUUACUCUCAUGUUAAGCUACAUUAAUCUAAAGGACUAUUACGCUGAAUCUGGUUAGAUUCAGGUUUUCAGUUUACAGGGAAACGUGGAGCUGAAUUGAGUCAACCCUAACCCUAAUUAAUAAGAAAGGCAAAGCAAAUGAUUGACAGACAUUUGAGCGUCAUCUUUGAGCCUAAUCUAAUGUGCACACACAUUACUGAUGAAUUAUUAAAAAGGACUGUUCUUAGGAUCAUUAGCAACCUUGUGAACUAUAAAUUUUAAAAGAAUAAUGUUUGAUCUUUUUAUGUUUGCAUAUGUUAGAUUACUUGAAUAAGGCCAUCAUGGCAAACAUUUUUCUGUUGCCUCCUCUUUGACUCCAAAACACUGGCCCUGGAUAUUCAAUCCCUGCACCUCUCUGUCCAUCAAGCGUCUCACUCAGUGUCUGUGAUGGGGCUACCAACUGAUUCAUGGAGAUUUGUGGAUGUACUGUAUGUACUGACUUUGUAAAUAGUAAAUAAAUUAUUGUAGAUGAACACAUAUAUAUAGAUCAGACUGUCCUGCCAAAGCCUACAGCACACCCUCUUGACACUUGAUCCUCUUAAUUAAUCGCUAUCUACUCAGCAUUACACACCCCACGCUGGCCACAGAAUCAGAAAAUGUUGAGUUAUAGUUGCUGAAUUUAGUAGUGAUAAGACAUUUUGAGGAAUAUUGUCAACUGUAGUCAUAAAAAGGCAUUCUUACAUAUUGUUAUAGAUGUUUAGGCUGCUCAAGUGAAGCAGCACUUCACAUUUGGAGGAAAAAAUAAGAAAAGAGCCUAUUUACUAUUUCCUGUCCUUCAUUAUUCCCUCACAGGAACCACGUCUCAUUGGCAGGACAGUGUAUAAAUAUAUAUUUUUGUUCUGAAUGUUGUACCUCUGUUGUCAGUCUCUGAACUACACUGACUUCUCUCUGCAAAGGAACGGCAGCUUGGGUCACUUCAUUGAUCCACAUAAUUAGCUGAUGGCGUCGGCCCUUCGUGACGCCGGGGCACGAGUUAGACUUUGCCCUCCUGUGGUUAGCAGUGGGGGAAUCGAGGGGAAAUUAUUCUACAUUUCGGAGCAGCUUCAACUGGGUGCUGGAGCGUUGGAGCUUAAAGCUACACAUGAGAAAGGACAAAUAUAUGUGGUUGUUUGAGAACAGAUACUGAUGUUUUUAAGAGUCUGAACCUACAAACUUGUGAGAGAACGUGGUUUAACAGAGACAAUCUCAUAGUUAUCUGUUGUUAGAUUCCUCGAUUUAUAAUCAGAGUAUGAAACCAAAUGAUUCCAUAAUAAUCCCAAACUGUUUUUAAAUCGUUAAAUCUCUCUUUCUCUCUUUUGCUUUCUCUCUCUCUCUCUCACUCCUGUUAACUUGUCUCCUGUUUUUCUUUCUUUUAUUGUGAAUUUGUGCCUUUUUGUCAUUUUAUCUUCUAAUAACACUACUGUACAUUGCAGACAUAAAGAACUAAAUAAAAAGAAAGAAAAGCAACUGUA